This 857-nucleotide ribosomal RNA is filed under the name uncultured bacterium. RNAcentral's name for it is "bacterial SSU rRNA". It matches the Rfam family "Bacterial small subunit ribosomal RNA", at positions 524 to 1380 of the family's 1533-position model. The record is from RNAcentral.
UACGGAGGGUGCAAGCGUUACUCGGAAUCACUGGGCGUAAAGCGCGCGCAGGCGGUUUGAUAAGUUGGAAGUGAAAUCCUAUGGCUCAACCAUAGAACUGCUUCCAAAACUGUCAAACUAGAGUGUGGGAGGGGAAGAUGGAAUUAGUUGUGUAGGGGUAAAAUCCGUAGAGAUAACUAGGAAUACCAAAAGCGAAGGCGAUCUUCUGGAACACUACUGACGCUGAGGCGCGAAAGCGUGGGGAGCAAACAGGAUUAGAUACCCUGGUAGUCCACGCAGUAAACGAUGAAUGUUAGUCGUUGGGUAGCAAGUCUAUUCAGUGAUGCAGUUAACACAUUAAACAUUCCGCCUGGGGAGUACGGUCGCAAGAUUAAAACUCAAAGGAAUAGACGGGGACCCGCACAAGUGGUGGAGCAUGUGGUUUAAUUCGAAGAUACGCGAAGAACCUUACCUAGCCUUGACAUUGAUAGAAUCUUCCAGAGAUGGAGGAGUGCCUUUCGGGGAACUUGAAAACAGGUGCUGCACGGCUGUCGUCAGCUCGUGUCGUGAGAUGUUGGGUUAAGUCCCGCAACGAGCGCAACCCUCAUCACUAGUUACUAACAGUUAGGCUGAGGACUCUAGUGAGACUGCCUUCGUAAGGAGGAGGAAGGUGAGGACGACGUCAAGUCAUCAUGGCCCUUACGGCUAGGGCAACACACGUGCUACAAUGGUUAGGACAGUGAGAAGCAAUACCGCGAGGUGGAGCCAAUCUAUAAACCUAAUCUCAGUUCGGAUUGUAGUCUGCAACUCGACUACAUGAAGCUGGAAUCACUAGUAAUCGUAGAUCAGCUAUGCUACGGUGAAUACGUUCCCGGGUC